RNAcentral lists this transfer RNA (76 nucleotides) under Thiotrichales bacterium. Its description in RNAcentral is "tRNA-Lys". It matches the Rfam family "tRNA". From Rfam's summary of the family: Transfer RNA (tRNA) molecules are approximately 80 nucleotides in length. Their secondary structure includes four short double-helical elements and three loops (D, anti-codon, and T loops). Further hydrogen bonds mediate the characteristic L-shaped molecular structure. tRNAs have two regions of fundamental functional importance: the anti-codon, which is responsible for specific mRNA codon recognition, and the 3' end, to which the tRNAs corresponding amino acid is attached (by aminoacyl-tRNA synthetases). tRNAs cope with the degeneracy of the genetic code in two manners: having more than one tRNA (with a specific anti-codon) for a particular amino acid; and 'wobble' base-pairing, i.e. permitting non-standard base-pairing at the 3rd anti-codon position. Lineage: Bacteria; Pseudomonadati; Pseudomonadota; Gammaproteobacteria; Thiotrichales. The record is from RNAcentral. RNAcentral also lists the same sequence under 1 other name.
GGGGCAUUAGCUCAGUUGGUAGAGCACUCGGCUUUUAACCGAUUGGUCGUAGGUUCGAGUCCUACAUGCCCCACCA